CACCUUCAGUGCCCAGGAGGGACAAAUGGUUUUGGUUCAGUGUGCCAUUGAUGGGCGUUCUCCCGUUACAAGAAUUGUCUUCUGCAAGGAUGGGGUGGAAACAUCCAGCCUGAAGGCCAUUCAGGGGCAGCUGACCUACAACAUGAUCAUGAAUGUCUCACUGGGAAGUGCAGGCAAGUACACGUGUGGGUACCAGCUCAAGGAUCAGAGCAACCAAGUGAAGAACUCUGCCCUCAGUGUCCCCCAGGACUUGGAAAUCACAGGUAAGAUGCGAAACCAGAGCAGGGGAAUGUGCUCCAUGAAACAUAAGAGUGAUGGAUGCUGUAUAUAAUCCACAGGUCCACCUCAGCCAUCCUAUUUUUAAUCCCUCACAAAAUCACUUAGACACUGGAUCCAUGGGGGUCCAUGCUGGCAGAGCAGUUGCAGGCACUUUCACUCCUCCCCUGGGGAUGGUGCUGGCUGUUGUUGGAGGGAUGUGCCCAUGGGGCUGUGUGUCCCCUGCCCCACACAGACGUGCUCAGGGCUGUUGUAGGAGAUGAGAUCAAUAUGUGCCUAGUCAGGGAAGGAGGUGGCAGUGAUGCAGAUGCUCAUCCUGUCCAUUUCUCCUGCCAGGCAGUGUGGCCGGCUCCCCUGCAUAAUAACAGCCCCAAGGGAGUGACUCCCUCCUGCAUCCCCAAAGACAAUAACAUGGGGCUCAGGUCUGCCAGGCUGCCGUCCCCAGGGCAUGGGGUCAUGCAGGAACUUCAUCAAGCAGGAGGUCUGCCAGCUGCACGGGCACAUCCUGCUCCCUGCCUCUCCCCAUCACACCCCGCUGCCUUCACACCCUCUGUCCCCCAGCUCCACAUGCCCGGAUUCUGCACACCCUCCCCACAGGCAUGGUGCUGGCAGUGGCGGCCGUCGGCCUCGUCCUCCUGGCUGCAGGCAGCUGGUUUGCCAUCAGGAAAGGCAGCAGCACGUUGACAGCCCACAGACGGAAGACACCAACUAUGGUGACAUCCAGUGUGAGUAAUACCUCCUCCCCUGGGGGAAGCCACAUGCUCCUCUCCCCAUGAGAAUCCUGUGCGAGCCCCCAUGCAAUCCCACCACUUCAUUUCCCACUGGGACAUACAAAAUCCCUGCUCGUUCAAGGGCCAGGUUUCUCUCCAGCACCUCACGUCCUGCUUCUUCCUUGCAUGAACAGUGCGUGCGGGCUGCUGGCUGUACAAGGGACAUGGCAGCAUCCCAGUGCUCCCAGGGACAAAGCCCAUUUGCCUGGGGGGUCCUUUCACAGCUGCUGCAGCCCCAGGCUUCAAUUCCCCUGCUAGGCCUCUGCUUUUGUCCUUUCUUCACUUCUUCUACAAAGCGAUUUCUGUUUUCAUGCAGUUGAAAGUACACAGCAACAAUGAAAGAUGUGGCUCUCUUUCCUUGCGUUUGUGGGGAAAGCCUGUUAUAGUUUGCUUUGAAACCACAGGCAGCAGGCAAGGGAGGAUGUUGAAGCUGGGUCACAGGUAUAGAUAUAUCCCUACCCUACUUGCACCUCACUCGAGUUGCAGCACGACCUUGUUUACCCACGCUUGCACAAAGCAGCUCACAAGGUGUGCUGGCUGUGCAAAGAGAGGAGAUGCCACAGAAAGCUGGAAAUACACCAAAACCUCAGCAUCUCUUCUCCACUGCUGCUUAAUGCUCAUCCCAGAGUAGGAUGAUAGGAGGGGCAAUGUGGUCAGGUGUUGAGAGCUGACCACAGGCAGCUGCUGCCCAAGGUCAGUGUGAGUUUCAGCUCUCCACCAACAGGCAGCAAGGACUCAUCGAAUGUUUUUUCCCACAGACUCCACCAUCGCCCAUGUUCGACGGGACAGGGUGAGUCAUGGCACAGCUGUGCACACCUCCUUUCUGCACUCCUGCAGCCUGGUGCACGCUCAUUGUGCAGGGCUCACAGUCAGCAGCUGAAGUAACAGGGUUUCUUUUCUCCCUAAAGCCUCGU
This 1960-nucleotide long non-coding RNA is filed under the name Anas platyrhynchos platyrhynchos (common mallard). Its description in RNAcentral is "lncRNA (ENSAPLG00000022495.1)". The record is from RNAcentral. Lineage: Eukaryota; Metazoa; Chordata; Aves; Anseriformes; Anatidae.